This 497-nucleotide ribosomal RNA is filed under the name uncultured bacterium. Its description in RNAcentral is "partial 16S ribosomal RNA". It matches the Rfam family "Bacterial small subunit ribosomal RNA", at positions 28 to 507 of the family's 1533-position model. The record is from RNAcentral.
GAUGAACGCUGGCGGCGUGCCUAAUACAUGCAAGUCGAGCGAACAGAUAAGGAGUUUCCCCUUUUGACGUUAGGGGCGGACGGGUGAGUAACAUGUGGGUAACUCCCCUAUAAGACUGGAACAACUCGGGGAAACCGGGGCUAAUGCCGGAUAACUUUUAGAACCGGAUGGUUCCAAUGGGAAAUAUGGUUUUGCUAUCACUUAUAGAUGGACCCGCGCCGUAUUAGCUAGUUGGCAAGGUAACGGCUUACCAAGGCAACGAUCCGUAGCGGACCUGAGAGGGUGAUCGGCCACACUGGAACUGAGACACGGUCCAGACUCCUACGGGAGGCAGCAGUAGGGAAUCUUCCGCAAUGGGCGAAAGCCUGACGCAGCAACGCCGCGUGAGUGAUGAAGGUCUUCGGAUCGUAAAACUCUGUUAUUAGGGAAGAACAAAUGUGUAAGUAACUGUGCACGUCUUGACGGUACCUGAUCAGAAAGCCACGGCUAACUACGUG